Molecule: non-coding RNA, 2524 nt
Organism: Camellia sinensis
Lineage: Eukaryota; Viridiplantae; Streptophyta; Magnoliopsida; Ericales; Theaceae
Source: RefSeq, a predicted model, not a curated record
AAUAAUAAAUUGUCGAAAAUCGGAGGGAGGCGGGGCCCCUCCCCUGCUUGGAUUCAAAAUCUGUUUUCCUUUAGCUAAGAAAGCAAGAAAAUUUACUUUGAGACUUAUAAUGUAGAAAUGCCAAGGUUCUGAUGUGAGCCCAUGCUAUUUUAUUCAGUUCAACUUAUAAUAUUGUUGUGGCGGUUGUAUUUUUAGUUAUGAAAUCGUAUACUGGUGUGUGAACGGGCGUUUAGCAGGGGAGAUGUGUUGUUGUAUCAAUGUCAUGGUAGUUGUAUUUUGAAUUAGGGAUUUGUAUCUUCUGGUGUUUGGAAUCCGAACUUUGGUGAUUGUUUAGCAAAAGAGAUUCUGUUUUAUACCUCUGAUGUGGGCUCUGACAUGGUGGUACUUUAAAGAGUCAAAAUCCAUGCAAUUUGGCAUUAAAGAGCAAGAGAAGUGCUUCUAUGAUGCUUACCACUUUGUGCCUUUGGUUUCUUAUACAAUCCACGACCUUUUUUUGAGUGGGUUGUACUUGUACCUUUGGUUAUCCUCUCUUUUGUUUUCUAGGGGCUUUAGGAUAGUUAUUGGACUUACAAUAAGGGGGAACCAUAACAUUGUCUGCUCUUUGACAAUCGGCAAAGUAAUUUGGACUUGAGUUGUUCACUGCAGUCAGUUGAUGUGUAAGAGUAAAACUUUCCUAGAAUUUUCCCGCUUCAACUAUUUGCUGUGGCUUCUUAAAUGGUUGUUGUAGUGUUUGUGACAUCAAAUUCUAAUUGAUUCUGGAAGAUGUUAUGUGGAUUAAAAAUGAAUUGCACAACAAUCAUGCAAACUUUCUUUCUAUGGUCAAUUGUUUCAGCAACAAAAUGGCAAAUUUUUUGAUAUGGACAACCACAGUGGAUUUGGCAAGGAAUAGUGAGCGGAUUCUCUCUCUUUAUCGCCAACUAUUGCGGAGGCUUAACUCCCCUGAUUUGCCGCUGAACUUGGCAGCAAGACUGGCCAAAAAAGCUGAGGUUCGUGCCAUCUUCAUGCUGGCUUCUGAGGAGCGAUCCCUCCACAACAUGGAAGAUCUCAUUGAUGCUGCUGACUACUCCCUCUCCCUCUUAAGAAAAGGCCAAAUCCCCAAAUACAUCCAAUGAAUAAGUGAAUGACAACAACAAUAAUUCAUUUCUGUAUCAAUUUUGUGGCUCUACUGCUCUAUGGUAAAAUAACUUGGUGAUCAUGGAUGGCUUGAAAUCUAUUACUAAAGCAAUACCGAGAACAUUUUCCAUCAGUUUCAGAUUAUUCUUUUAACCUCAAAUUUGUGCACUGUGACUCCAUGGACAUCUAAUACUUGUUCGGUCCAGCGAGAGACAUUAUGAAAGUGGAAGAGGUCAUGCUGCAAGAUUUGAAUGGGAAAGAUAAUUUUUAUCCAACCGCGGUAAAAAAAAAAGGGUUUGUUCAUUUGCUUAUUCCACUUCAUACAAUGGUAUGUGUUAAUUUGCUACUGAAAUUAUUUGAAAACUUGAGGGUGACUGAAUGAAUUGGAUAUGUUUUAACAUAGUUACUAGUUAUCUUGUGUUAGUUCAAGCUGGCCUACCCCUUGUUAUUUUGCGUUUAUUUUCACUUUUUAUUCAUUUCCUGUGAACAUUUUCUUAAUGUGUUUUUGACCAAUGAAGUUUUGUGGUGAGCCUAGUAAUGACCACAGCAGUAAUUUAAUCAAAUCUCAAGUGACUAGGGAUUAUUGAGAACCAUGUAUCCUGCAUUUCUCAACCUCCACAAGGGAAAAUUCAUGCAUAGAAUAUCAGGAGAGAGAGAGAGACUUGCCAAAAAAAAAAUUGUGAAAAACAGGGCAUUUUGACCAUAUGUGUAAUCUGAUAUACAGAAUGUAAUAGGAAAUAUAUGAGUUUAGCCCUUACUAUUCCUGAGGGCAGUUGAAGCAAUUCAUACCCCCAGCCCAAGAGAGCAAAAAAAUAAAUAAAUAAAAAUAAGUAACAAAAAGCAAAAAGCAAAAAUAUAAACUUAUGAACAAUUCAAAAGAAUGAUGUCAAUGUUUGGUUUUGUCCUGAUAGGCAUACCAAAGUGCAAUUGAUGUGUUGCAUAGCUACUUUAGAGAAAAUUUUGUUGAAUUAGCAGACAAUGUUGUAAAGAAAAUUGUUGCAUAUCAUUAGAAUUUACUUUGAUCAAUUAAUUACUGGUAUUCCAAACAUUUCAACAGGGCACUAUUUACCCCAAUUUCGUAAAUGAGAUCCAAUGUUAAAACAUUUGGCAAUUCUGGUGAUUUUUCUAGUAAUUGGGAUGAAAAACUUACUGAGUUGAGUUAAUAUGGAAUAAUAAGUUUGACAACGUAAAACCUAAUCUAGUACGAAUAUUAAUUUAAAAAUAAGUAACAAAAAGCAAAAAGCAAAAAUAUAAACUUAUGAUUGGCCAUGAAAGAUGUUGUAAAGUAGUUUUUCAUAUGCAUGUUGCAGUAACUUAUUGGAAUGAACAAUGUUGAUAAAACUUUUUGAUGAUUCUGUUUGAGAAAUGAAAACUCCUAAUCCUUGUGUGCCAUGCACCAAGAUAUGUUUUA